Molecule: long non-coding RNA, 864 nt
Filed under: Amborella trichopoda
Lineage: Eukaryota; Viridiplantae; Streptophyta; Magnoliopsida; Amborellales; Amborellaceae
Description: long non-coding RNA (ATRI_LNC000635)
Source: RNAcentral
UUGUUUAUUUUUUUCAGAUGACAGAUAGUUUAAAUUUAAAAGGAGGCAUGAAAGCAUUUCACGCACUUUGUGAAUCCCAGCUCAAGGAGAUAAUUGACAGUAGGUUCUAAAUCCUUCUCCACACUUAAUGUAAGCAACUGAGGAUGCCAAGUAACAAGCCUGUAAAUAAACAAAUGAUCAAAUAUCAUGAGACCAAAAUAGCAUGAGCAAUGUAAGCAUAGCACUCAAACUGAGAGGAACAGACACAUAUAUGCUGUUAUGAUGAACAGAUACAGCUGCCGAUAUGGCUACAAAAUUAGUUUGAUUGAUUUCACAUAUGAUUUUGAAGUAUCUGAUACUAAUAACGCACCCAUUUUGAAGCACCUAAAACCAUCGGUUUGAGCUUCAAAAGAUACAAUUAGAAAGAUUAGUUGCAAUGAAAAAUAAUAAAUUCUUAAGAAAAAAAAUGUUGUCAUCAUGAAGUUCUGCGGUCACAGAAUUUCUGUGAAAGUCAAAAGAAAUCGGUGAAUUGCAGGCAAACCUUGCAAAGUGAGGAACCUUUUAUGCCAGGGCUUUCCAAGAGCUUCAAAGUAAAGAAACAACCUAGCCAAACCCCUUUUCUCUGCACAUGCAUAGACUCUGGAACCAAACAUAAGGUGACCCAUUUCCUCAAAGCUCGCCAUCAGUAACCCAUGCCAAUGCUUCCUUUCAAAGGAGACAGAAGGUCCCCCGUUUCCAAUUGCACUCUCUCCUGUGAGUUCAUGGCAUCUGCUCUUUCCCAGUGAGAAUUCAGUGGAUUCCACCACAAGAAGAGCUCAUUUGUCCGGAGGAGUUGGAUUGGGGCUCAUCGCAUUCGAGUUCGGGAAACCAUGGGUUGAGCCUGAG